This 1546-nucleotide ribosomal RNA is filed under the name Candidatus Nomurabacteria bacterium RIFCSPHIGHO2_02_FULL_42_24. RNAcentral describes it as "bacterial SSU rRNA". It matches the Rfam family "Bacterial small subunit ribosomal RNA". The record is from RNAcentral. Lineage: Bacteria; Candidatus Nomuraibacteriota.
AAGAGUUUGAUCAUAGCUCAGGAUGAACGCUGGCGGCGUGGAUAAGGCAUGCAAGUCGAACGAAUUAUUUUUAAUUUCAGAUGAGAUUAUAUCAAGUCAAAAAAUUUUUAAUGAUUAGUGGCAAACGAGGUAGUAACACGUGGGAAUCUCCCCCGAAGUCGUUAAUAACCCCGCGAAAGCGGGACUAAUGCGCGAUAUAUCUCCGGAUGAAAGGAGCAAUCCGCUUCGGGAAGAGCCUGCGAAGUAUCAGCUAGUUGGCAGUGUAAUAGACUACCAAGGCUAUGACGCUUAGGGGAGGUGAGAGCCUGACCCCCACCGAUGGGACUGAGACACGGCCCAUACACCUACGGGUGGCUGCAGUCAAGAACAUUCCACAAUGGGCGAAAGCCUGAUGGAGCGACGCCGCGUGAUGGAUGAAGUCCUUAGGGACGUAAACAUCUUUUGUGAGGGAAGAAACCGCCGUAAGGCGGAUUUGACGGUACCUCAAGAAUAAGGGGCUCCCAACUCUGUGCCAGCAGGAGCGGUAAGACAGAGGCCUCGAGCGUUAUCCGGAAUUAUUGGGCGUAAAGGGUGCGUAGGCGGUUCGCCACAUCUCUGAUUAAAGCCCAAGGCUUAACCUUGGAAAAACCAGAGAGAUGAGUGGACUAGAGACAGUGAAAGGUUUAUGGAACUCACGGUGUAGGGGUGAAAUCCGUUGAUAUCGUGGGGAACACCAAAGGCGAAGGCAAUAAACUGGCACUGUUCUGACGCUGAGGCACGAAAGCGUGGGGAUCAAAAAGGAUUAGAUACCCUUGUAGUCCACGCCCUAAACUAUCCUCUCUCGCUUUUCGGAGUAUCGACCCUCUGAGAGGCUAAGCUAACGCGUUAAGAGAGGCGCCUGGGAAGUACGGCCGCAAGGCUAAAACUCAAAUGAAUAGACGGGGACUCGCACAAGCCGUGGAUUAUGUGGUUCAAUUCGACGGUAACCGAAGAACCUUACCAGGGCUAGAAAUCCUAACGAACCUCGACAGAAACGUCGGGGGUCCGCAAGGACGGUAGGACAGGUGCUGCAUGGCCGUCGUCAGUUCGUGGUUUGAAUUGUUCCCUUAAGUGGGGUAACGAACGCAACCCUCGUCGUGUGUUACAAGUGUCACGCGAGACUGCCCCCGCCAAAGAACAUAAGUGAUUCCUCUGGGGAGAGGUGCAUUUGUGAAUUUUGGCGGGGGAGGAAGGGGAGGAUGACGCCAGGUCAGCAUGGCCCUCUGAUGCCCUGGGCUACACACAUAAUACAAUGGUCGUUACAGAAGGAUGCGAAGGAGUAAUCCGGAGCCAACCCCUAAAAACGACCUCAGUUCGGAUUGAGGUCUGCAACUCGACCUCAUGAAGUCGGAAUGGCUAGUAAUCGCAGGUCAGCAAACUGCGGUGAAUACGUUCUCGAGUCUUGUACUCACCGCCCGUCAUUUCAAGGGAGCCGGGAAUACCCGAAGCCCCCCGAUUAAAAUCAGGGGAUCACGGUAAGUUCGGUGACAGGGAAAAAGUCGUAACAAGGCACGGCUAGCGGAAGCUG